UACGAAGGGGGCUAGCGUUGUCCGGAAUUACUGGGCGUAAAGGGCGCGUAGGCGUGGCUGUAAGUCAGGCGUGAAAGCCCCGGGCUCAACCUGGGAAUUGCGCUUGAUACUGCGGCGCUGGAAGGUGGGAGAGGAUGGCGGAAUUCCCAGUGUAGAGGUGAAAUUCGUAGAUAUUGGGAAGAACACCGGUGGCGAAGGCGGCCAUCUGGCCCAUUUUUGACGCUGAGGCGCGAAAGCGUGGGGAGCAAACAGG
This 253-nucleotide ribosomal RNA is filed under the name uncultured bacterium. RNAcentral describes it as "partial 16S ribosomal RNA". It matches the Rfam family "Bacterial small subunit ribosomal RNA", at positions 524 to 776 of the family's 1533-position model. The record is from RNAcentral.